Molecule: long non-coding RNA, 3084 nt
Organism: Anas platyrhynchos (mallard)
Lineage: Eukaryota; Metazoa; Chordata; Aves; Anseriformes; Anatidae
Source: RefSeq, a predicted model, not a curated record
CCGCCUCAGGGUGCCCCUGGGAAUGGCGAGGGGCUGGGAGGGGGGCGCUCAGCGGCUGAAGCCAAGGGGAAUUUAGGCGCGUGCCCACUACGCGUUACCCUGCUCUAACGCUGCUCGAGGUGUGAUUCUCACUCAUCCUUGUCGUUUUAGCCAAGUGUAACAACAAAGGAGAACGUAGUGAGCAAGAGGGCAGAGGCUGCAGCCUGCAGUCAGACCUGCAGUGUUACUGAUGCUGAUCUGCUACUGCUGAUCCACUCUGGAGUCGCUGCGUUGUCUGAUGCAAUUAAAGUUCCAUUACCAGUACAGUGUGGGCCAGAUCACUUGUCUUCUCCUUCUGGAAACCUUUCCAGUGGCCCUAGAGAAGUAGUGCAAGACCCUGGAACCAAAACGAGAUUUGCCUGGUCUGGUAAAGUUUGGCAUCAUUCGGUAUCUGCUCCCUGACUGAAACAGAACUGUGCUGCACUCCAGGAGCAGUGAUCACUGGCUGUAAGAGCUCGGUGCUGCACUGGCUAACCUGUGGUGCUAGCACCCAAGCUAUACAUCCUUUUCACCAGUGCUUCCAGUAUGUUAUGGGUUUAUGACUAGGAGUACAAACAUCACAGGAAAAUGGUGUGUGAGCACUGCCACUCUGUGCAAAUGUGUAUGGCUGGGAACGGCUCCUGAUGCUGCUAACAGCAGUGGAUGAGGAAAAUAAGUUUAUGAACCCCUUUUCUACACUUUAUGAAACCCUGUUCUACACUUUGCCAUAGGCCUAAGUAUUGGUAUUACAGGCCAACUGCUAAAUCCUGUGACUCCUCACCAUUCACUUGGUUUGUGUUACAUGCAUAUCCCCAAGGCAAAUGAGAGAAUGGUAUGCCCACUUUUCCUAAUCAGCCAAAGGAGCAGGGGAAAAAUAAUCCAGAUUGGAAUGAACAAGGUAAAUGGUUUGCUUUAACCUACUUGGGGGAACAGGGAGCUUUUCCUCAGGAAACAAAAUAAAUAUACUCUUUUUUUUUUCCAUAAUAUUGAGUAGUAGAACUAUUUCGGUGCUUUUACUGAGGUAUUUUUUAGGAUUUUCAAGUGUUUAAGAGGAUUAUUUCUGCUUUGGCUAGCUGUGUUAUACUAGUUUGCAGUAAACUGCAGGAACUUCAGUGUCAAGAAGCCUUUAGACUCCCCCUGCCUAAUAAAGCUAGUAUUUAUUUAUUUAGGCUCUGAGAUAAGUACUUCAUUGAGGUUUUGGUGGCAGAAGCGGUAUGUGGUUUACACAUUUCCUACUCCUGUUUUCUCAUGGGUGGUUUUGUGUAAUAAGCUGUCCACUCUCACUAUAUCUAGGUUUGUCUUCACUUCAUUAUUAAUUCAGAUGUUGCUGUUCAUCUGAUUUCUAGCUGCAAAUACAUAAACCUCAAGCUCAGGUAUGCAUUAGUAAUUUACCCCAGAGCAGACCUGUCCCAUCCUACAGGUCUAAGUGCUGAGCAUAGAUACGGCUUGCUCUUGCUGCCAGUAACAGUGUGGAUGCAGGCUAAGCUGUCUGAAGGCUCAGUCCCUGCAUUCUGCAAUUACUUGGAAAGAGCAGGAAGGGACAGGCUGCUGUGCUGGGACCCAGAGCAAGGCCUUCAGGACUCCCAGGUGAAUACACGGUACUGCACCUUGCUGUAAGCCAGUAUGGCUUUGCAUUGGCUCUCCUUGCUCCAAGUCAAAGCAAAAUUACUACUUAACAGCUUCCUGGCAGGGAAAGCAUAGCCCCCAUGGGAUAUAAAGCAAAAUAUUACAUUAGAUCUUAAGCUAAAGAUUCAGGCAUCCAGUGGACAGCAGCACGCAAUAAAACACUUUUCGACUGCUAUGCAAAACUUGUGUAUAUUUUGUGUUGUUAUCUGUAAGAAGAUCUCUAAUCUUUGUAUCUUACUCCCAGCAGAAUCUUACCAUGAAUAAGUCAUGAGUGGCAGCUUAGCUGUCUAGGUUGCUUUUGAUUGGGAAAAUGGUUGAAUAUAGACCAACUUUAGGUGACAUAACUAGCAUAAGCCUGACUUCAGUUUGACUUCUUCUAAAGUGUAAAUUGAAAGUUAAUACCUCCACAGAUCCGGACUAUUGUGAGGAAAUGUACAAAAAUAAUAGACCUUUCCAAUGUACCUGAAGAGACUUGGAAAUAUGAAAAUCACUGAGAAUCAAUGGAAUUUAUAGUCCUGUAUCAGUUGGACUCCUCUGAAAAAGCCAAACACAGUCUUUGAAUUUGCUUGUAUUAGGAGAGAUUCUGCUCUUUCUGACAGAUUGGGAGUGGAAAUUUGCUAGAUAUCUCAGUUUUACGUUAGUAUAAAUGAGUAAUUUGAGACAUUGCUAAAACUGGUCUUCUGUCUAGCGUUAAGCACAGAAUAAAGGAAGCCAUGCUGAAAAACAAGGUAAAACACAUGGAGUCCAUGCUGAGGUUUAAUCUCCAAGCACCUAAGAUGGGAUUUACUUUUCCAGCCACUCCAAAAUCCAACUUGCAUCAGUUCAGAUUGAAAUGGAACAUGACCUUCAGUUGUCGAUGCCAGGGUGACCUCAGGCUUUUGCACGAUUUUUAAACAGAUGGCUUGUGAGUGUUAAAUGUAGUGUCUAAUAUAACCUUUGUGCUGGCCAUAAAGGUGACUGUAAAAUGUUACGAAUUCUGAGAUGGAGUAUCACUAUCUGAGGCUUGCUUGAGGAACAAGGGACGUUUGGUGGGCUGCAGUAAGAGAAUUUCCAUGUGACUUAACAGGGGCUGUACAAACAGGGAAGAGACACAGUGGAUCCUAGCGUACAGUUGAAUGACUGAAAGUUAAGCCAUUAAACAGAUGGGGGCAGGAUUUAUGACAGGAAUGGACUGCAAAACUUAUUUGUCCAACCUACAGUGCAAAGGAUCAGACAGACACCAAAAGGUCGAAGAACUUUUUCAGUGGGCUAAGGGGGGGAUUUAUGUUUGCAUUUGCCUAGAAGAAUGCAGAGAGAUGAAAUCUGAAAUGUGUCUCCCCUGCUCACGGUUUAGAGAUAACAAUACAAACUUUUUUUUUUCCCCGCUCCAGAACACUUUCAUUCUACAUAAACAUUUAGUUUUUAGGUGUCUCAGUGAUUGCAGAUUGUCACUCUCACUGC